CCUACGGGAGGCAGCAGUAGGGAAUCUUCCGCAAUGGACGAAAGUCUGACGGAGCAACGCCGCGUGAGCGAAGAAGGUCUUCGGAUUGUAAAGCUCUGUUGUUAGGGAAGAACAAGUACCGUUCGAAGAGGGCGGUACCGUGACGGUACCUAACGAGAAAGCCACGGCUAACUACGUGCCAGCAGCCGCGGUAAUACGUAGGUGGCAAGCGUUGUCCGGAAUUAUUGGGCGUAAAGCGCGCGCAGGCGGUUCCUUAAGUCUGAUGUGAAAGCCCACGGCUCAACCGUGGUGGGUCAUUGGAAACUGGGGGACUUGAGUGCAGAAGAGGAGAGCGGAAUUCCACGUGUAGCGGUGAAAUGCGUAGAGAUGUGGAGGAACACCAGUGGCGAAGGCGGCUCUCUGGUCUGUAACUGACGCUGAGGCGCGAAAGCGUGGGGAGCAAACAGGAUUAGAUACCCUGGUAGUCCACGCCGUAAACGAUGAGUGCUAAGUGUUAGAGGGUAUCCACCCUUUAGUGCUGUAGCUAACGCAUUAAGCACUCCGCCUGGGGAGUACGCUCGCAAGAGUGAAACUCAAAUGAAUUGACGG
Molecule: ribosomal RNA, 588 nt
Filed under: uncultured Bacillota bacterium
Lineage: Bacteria; Bacillati; Bacillota
Description: bacterial SSU rRNA
Rfam family: Bacterial small subunit ribosomal RNA
Source: RNAcentral